GCAUGGUUUUGGAUUUUUGACAGGCCCGUUCUCUUGGGCCUCUCGUGGUGCCCCCUGACAGAGCAAACUGUGGCCCUGAACUCUGUGCCUGUAGGCUGCUGGCACUGAAGUGGGUUGCACAGUG
Prolemur simus (greater bamboo lemur) is the source of this 124-nucleotide small nucleolar RNA. The record is from Ensembl. NCBI's taxonomy places the organism in Eukaryota, Metazoa, Chordata, Mammalia, Primates, Lemuridae.